CGGAGGUAGUCGGGAGACAGGUGGUGCAUGGUUGUCGUCAGCUCGUGUCGUGAGAUGUUGGGUUAAGUCCCGCAACGAGCGCAACCCCUAUUGCUAGUUACCAUCAUUAAGUUGGGGACUCUAGCGAGACUGCCAGUGAUAAACUGGAGGAAGGUGGGGAUGACGUCAAAUCAUCAUGCCCCUUAUGACCUGGGCUACAAACGUGAUACAAUGGCUGGAACAAAGGGAUGCGAAGCAGUGAUGUGGAGCGAAACCCAUAAAAACAGUCUCAGUUCGGAUUGAAGUCUGCAACUCGACUUCAUGAAGUCGGAAUCGCUAGUAAUCGCGGAUCAGAACGCCACGGUGAAUACGUUCUCGGGGUUU
RNAcentral lists this ribosomal RNA (363 nucleotides) under uncultured Acholeplasma sp. RNAcentral's name for it is "bacterial SSU rRNA". It matches the Rfam family "Bacterial small subunit ribosomal RNA", at positions 1018 to 1382 of the family's 1533-position model. Lineage: Bacteria; Bacillati; Mycoplasmatota; Mollicutes; Acholeplasmatales; Acholeplasmataceae. The record is from RNAcentral.